GUGGAGGACAAACGUCGCAUUGAGACGGUCUGCGCUCUCAUUUACUCGUACGAACCGGUCUCCCUGAUACAUGUGUUACACGCUAUCCCGCUAAUAAUAUUAUCGUGCAGUGUUUUAUAUUAACUUUUAAAGGAUUUUCACGUGAACGUAGUGCUCCAUUCGAUUUUUAAACUUAUUUUUUAGUGCGUGCGUUAAGUUUUUAUACUUUCGGGUGAAGUGUAAGUUUUAAAAAGUUUUUUUAGUGGUCGUAUCAGCAUAAGUGACGUAAACUGUCUUAUCAAAGGGAAUUACCGUGAUUUAUGUGCCGCGCUGAACCAAUUGGAUUUGAUAACGCUUCCGUAUAGAAGUUUAGCAAGAUUAAGUUAAACUUUAAAAGUUUUUGCCUGUUUGCGCAAAAAGUAUCAUCACGUCAGAAGAAACAGCUGGAAGUCAAAAAUAAAGAGUUGACACCAUUCUACGGAUUAAACAUGUCAUAAGGCACUACAUGGCGACUAGAGGAUGAGCCAUGGAAUCACGAAGUGCGCCGCCAAGCCCCGACGAAUCAGGGGAGGCGGUGUUCGACUCACGGUGUGGACGAUACCCUCACCAGCCUUCCCUACAGAGGGCCUUUGCAAGCUGUCGCGAGACCGGUCGACCUCGACCCCAUCAUCGUCAUGCAGCAUCCGAGCCAGCACGACCAGACGAUCGUGUUCUUACCACAGCCGAAGUACACGACUAUCCCUCAUCAGAGUCAGGCAUCGCUGCCGAUUGUCCCCAUCCACAUUCGAGCAACGCCGACGACAGUCCGUGCUACGAUCGAUCAGAUUACGAAGGAAAUUCUAAUUACAGUCUAAGGCACAACUUUCAUCACACCAUCGAUUGCAGUAAACAUAGAUCUGAAUUAAAUUGUAGUCAUACUCCAGAUUACAGCCACGAUGAUUCGGAUUGUGAUAGAGGACAUUCUCGUUCUCAAACAUCUCGGCGACCACACCGAAAACAUAGAAGAGAAGACGGAGAUGAGGCACAAUCUCUUGAUGAACGUUGUGCCCGUGAUCUUGAUGAAAUAUUACCCGCAAGGCUUGCUGCAGUAAAUCUAUCAAGAGACCAGCCACCACAAUCUUGGAACCGAAGUAAUAUUGCAGCUACAAUGGAGCGGUUCGAACCCGUCGAUUACUCGUAUGCCUAUUACGACCAUCAUUUAUCAAUGCCUUCAUCGUCAAGGAAAGCAAAUCGUCAACGCGGACGGGGUGGAGUCCCACGGGAUCGAUCCGCUCGACACAAUUUUGUAACAAGAUAUGGCACUGAAGAAAACAUUUACGAGGAAAUAACAGAUGGUUCUAGAACAUGUCCGAAACAUCGAUAUGUACCUCGGCAAUCUUUAGUUUCACUUGAUAGGAGCGUUGUUGAAGAGGAAGUACGCCGAGUAGAGUCAAGACAUAAACGAAUUUUGGGAGAAUUGAAUCUUAGUGUAGAAGCGAUGUUAAUGCCAGAGUGUGAAUCACCUGAUUCCGAAGUGGCAGAAGACCGUGAUAAUAUAGAAGAAUUAUUAAGAGUUGGGCCCACAGAUGAGUUAUUAUCACCCGCUAGCUGUAACCCCCCCGAUUUGGAUAGUGGUUUUAGUGGAAGCAGUAGUGGAGCAAGCUAUGUCGGUAGCUUAAGAAGAAAACCUACAGGUUCAGUACCGCAUCUGCCUGCAGUAGCUUAUGGGACGCGAGGUGCUGGCGUUCGAAUUUUAGGUGCGGAUGAAUGUAACUUGCGCUGUCCUAGAGAUGGUGCAUCGCCAAGAAGCUCUAGUUGUGGAGAUGCAAAAUCCAGUGGCUUUUGGAAUAAAAAGGCUUGGAGAAAAAUAUCUGGAUUCUCGAGCUCCAGUAGUAUAAACAAAGCUGGCUUGACAGGUCUGCUCGUUAGGUACACUUUCCGACGUAAGUCCGGCUCGCAAGGUACUCAGGGCAAGCGGCGUGCCGAGCCCGUCAAAUGCGAUGCGUGCCUCUCACAACGAUGUUAGCCGCUAUUAUGAUGAAGCAUGUAGGCCAAGCAGAGCUAAAUCCAGAACAGCUACUAUACCAUACAGUUACUCCAACGGAAAACUGGUGGUGCCGUUGGAUUCCCUAGCACAGAGCUGAGGGGCCGAACCCCCUUGCAAUUCCCGCCUCAAAUUCCUGCGAAGGACUUCUAAGUACUAAAUGACAACAAUGAAAGCCAACUACAAAGUUACUUGAAGUAUACACGUAUUACAUGUUAACUCUACAUUGACUGCGGGCGAAGUGACGGUUCACGAUUCUAUGCCUUCGAUGUUUGUGGUGUCACGAAGAGCUUGUACUAAUUCCACCGACAUAUAAGGCAUCAGCUCUCGUUAUUUAUCAAGAUUUGUAUCGUUCGUUAAGUCAGUUGCAUUUAAAAUAUUUAAAAAUGCAUUGCUCUUCAACAAGUUUAGGUUACGUGACGUGACGUGACGUGAGUUGUAUAUUGUCAAGAGAAAAUUUAUAUCAAUGACAACAUUCCAAAUGAUGAUUGCGACCAGUGGUACCAAAUUUGGACCACACAGUGAGUCUAUAAGACGCGCUGCUUAGGCUUCUCUUUACUUUUUGUACUGUAAAAUUGUUGUAAAUAUAGCAAUCAAUGACGAUUAGAAAAAGGGGCGUAUACGUUGACGUGAUAGAAGAGCCUAAUUAAUAUUUUCUAUUGUUAAGAUAACAGUUUCAUAGAAACAUACUACGUUGUUGUUACUUAUCAAUUUUUAGUAGAUAUUAGGUACAAAAAGGCUGACACGAUUUAAACCGAUUUUAUACAUGUAUUAUAACUCAAUAGCAUUUUCUUUUUUUUUUAAUAUUUAUCAAC
This is an RNA transcript of Vanessa atalanta (red admiral), 2817 nucleotides long. RefSeq lists it as uncharacterized. The record is from RefSeq and is a predicted model, not a curated record. The transcript is spliced from 6 exons. NCBI's taxonomy places the organism in Eukaryota, Metazoa, Arthropoda, Insecta, Lepidoptera, Nymphalidae.